GGUGAUGGUCCUUACUGGAUGAUUUCCUAUACAUAUUUUCUUUCCAUAUCUUUGAUGUACAUGUUGGUUUUUGUGAUAUUUGGCUCAGUUAUAGGGUUGAAAUUCUUCACAUUGAAUGACUACGGCAUUCAAAUUGUGUUUUAUUUUAUAUAUAUAAACCUGCAAAUUUCCGUGGCCUUUCUAGUCGCUGCAUUCUUUUCCAAUGUUAAGACUGCUACAGUUGUAGGCUACAUAGGCGUCUUUGGAACGGGGCUGUUGGGUGGUUUCCUUUUCGCAAACUUUGUUGAAGACUCAUCAUUUCCUAGAGGCUGGAUCAUUGUGUUGGAGUUAUAUCCUGGUUUCUCUCUAUAUCGUGGUUUAUACGAGUUUUCACAAUACACUUUUACAGGGAAUGCAAUGGGGACACAUGGGAUGCGUUGGGGAAAUUUGAGUGAUAGCAAAAAUGGAAUGAGACAGGUCUUGAUUAUCAUGUUUGUUGAGUGGUUAGUGCUACUUUUUGUUGCAUAUUAUGUGGAUCAAGUUUUAUCCUCUGGAAGUGGAAAAAGUCCUCUAUUUUUCUUGCAAAAUUUUGGGAAGAAGCGUCCAUCAUCUUUUCGGAAGCCUAGUUUGCAAAGGCAGGGAUCUAAAGUUUUUGUUGAUAUGGAUAAACCUGAUGUCAUUCAGGAGAGAGAGAAGGUUGAGCAUUUACUGCUGGAGCCAACCACAACUCAUGCAAUUAUCUGUGACAACCUACAAAAGGUGUAUCCAGGAAGGGAUGGAAACCCUGAAAAACUGGCAGUACGAGGGAUCUCUCUUGCUUUGCCUCCAGGAGAGUGCUUUGGUAUGCUCGGUCCCAAUGGUGCUGGGAAGACCUCUUUUAUUAGUAUGAUGAUUGGGCUCACAAAGCCAACAUCGGGGACGGCUUAUGUUCAGGGUUUGGACAUACGGACUCAUAUGGAUUGGAUUUAUACCAGUAUGGGCGUGUGCCCUCAGCAUGACCUGCUUUGGGAAACUUUGACAGGAAGGGAACACUUGCUAUUUUAUGGCAGACUUAAAAACCUAAAAGGUUCUGCCUUGAUCCAAGCAGUGGAAGAAUCUCUCAGGAGUGUCAACUUGUUUAAUGGUGGGGUUGCUGAUAAACAAGCUGGGAAAUAUAGUGGAGGUAUGAAGAGGAGGCUUAGUGUUGCAAUAUCACUGAUUGGGGAUCCCAAAGUUGUCUACAUGGAUGAACCCAGUACUGGAUUAGAUCCAGCUUCGAGAAGCAAUCUGUGGAAUGUAGUGAAGCGUGCAAAGCAAGACCGGGCAAUUAUUCUCACCACACAUUCAAUGGAAGAGGCAGAAGCCUUAUGUGAUCGAUUAGGAGUUUUUGUUGAUGGCAGCUUGCAGUGCAUAGGAAACCCAAAAGAGCUGAAGGGUAGAUAUGGUGGUUCUUAUGUGUUUACAAUGACAACAUCUUUGGAUCAUGAGCAAGAGGUGGUGAUGAUGGUGCAACAACUCUCCCCCAAUGCUGAACGGACUUACCAUACAUCUGGAACACAGAAGUUUGAGAUGCCAAAAAAUGAGGUCAGAAUUGCAGAUGUAUUUCAUGCAGUUGAGAUUGCUAAAAGCAGAUUCCCAGUUUUUGCUUGGGGUUUGUCUGAUACCACCUUAGAGGAUGUCUUCAUCAAGGUGGCUAAUGGGGCCUAGCUAUAGCCAUUCAACAUCUCUUUACUUUGUUGGAGAUCAUUUUCUUUUGCAAAUAAUCAGCUUUAGUUUUAGAAAAUGUAAUAUGCAUAGUAGACGCAUACCUCUGCAUGUAACUCAAUAUCAUUUUC
Molecule: unclassified non-coding RNA, 1793 nt
Filed under: Hevea brasiliensis (rubber tree)
Lineage: Eukaryota; Viridiplantae; Streptophyta; Magnoliopsida; Malpighiales; Euphorbiaceae
Source: RNAcentral